Lycium barbarum (goji berry) is the source of this 1426-nucleotide long non-coding RNA. RefSeq lists it as uncharacterized. The record is from RefSeq and is a predicted model, not a curated record. NCBI's taxonomy places the organism in Eukaryota, Viridiplantae, Streptophyta, Magnoliopsida, Solanales, Solanaceae. The transcript is spliced from 3 exons.
UAAGUAAGGGAAAAUGAGGUUCUAUUCAAGAAAAAUUUAUCAAGCUUCUACGCACAAAAAAAAUAAUAUGCAGAACGACUUGGAGGUUAUGUCCUCGUCGGUUGCGUGAUUGUAUUGUCGGUUUCCGCCAGAUGAUAACAAAUGGCAGAUCUUUUUCAAAGUGAACUAAGGUGGGUGAAGAGAAAUUCUUGGCAAAUAAGGCUAAAAGAGCGACGAGGUGAACGGAUUUACGAAUAGCCUCUAACAGGUACAGAUGCUCACGUUGGUAACCCGCCAGCUUAGGAGUCCUAUUCAGCUAUCUUGGAGAGCUCGCUUGUUUCGGAGCCUGGAUUUUGGUACAGAAUAUCUGUGGUGUAUAUGUAUUUUAUCCAGGGGUACGGGAGGGCCCUGUCCCGUUAUAUGAUACUGUUGUUACUUUUAGAGGUCUAUAGACAUACGUGUGGGUUGUGUAUCGAUGUUGUUCAAUUGUGUCUAUAUGGCUUAUGUUUUGGGACGUUCCCAUUCGUAGUGGCAGCCUUGUCGGCUUGCGUAGAUAUAUAUAUAUAUAUAUAUAUAUAUAUAUAUAUAUAUAUGUUUUGAGAAGUAAUGUGUUAUGAUAGCCUUGUCGGCUCGUUUAUGGCGGGGAUGUUCCCUUAUAUAUUAUGAAAGCCUUGUCGGCUUAUGUACUAUAAUGUCUGUUGAAAGUUGUACCUCCCCAGGAGACAGGUUGUUGUGAUACGUCUAAAUAAUGCGACAGUUUUGAGACGACGUCUUGCCUUGGUAUUGAUAAGUCUGUAUUAUGCUAGUUGUGGAUGAUUAUAGUUAACAGGUACAUACGAGUGUCCAGCUCGGGCACUAGUCACGGCCUACGGGGUUGGGUCGUGACAAACACCCCCAAACUUAUACUUUUGCUUGUCCUCAAGCAACUCAAACAAAGUUAUAGCACACGACAAGUGUUCAAGUAUUUAAAAGGUAGUAAUGGCUACGAUGGUGAUAGUGAUCGGUUACAAGCAUGCAUUCAAAAUAUAAUUACCUCUCAUUCUUUUUUUUUUCGAAUCACUUGGGGAGGUAGGGUGCCAAAAGAUGAGUCAAUAUGAACAAACAGGUAAGGCUUGUAAUAUGGUUGUCACAAAAAAAAAAAAAAAAAAAAAAAAAAGGACUAAAGCUCAAACAUGCAAUGGUAGGAAAUUUAAGGCUUAGUAAUGAUCCAAGGAAAGCCUAAUAUCCUCUUUCAUACAAAGUGUAGUUUAUGAUUUCACCUUGAGACACUUUACGGGCAAGUUCUAGAUCACAAUCAUGCACAAGACUUAAACGACAACGCCUCACAACACAUGGCACAUAUAUUACUUAACUAUUUUCUAAUUACUUCUCAAUCAAGAAUUCAAGGGAAAAAAGAUAACUUUUUAGUAAACAAUAUGUCACCAAAUGAGUCAUGUCAGUUAUGCUA